Molecule: ribosomal RNA, 253 nt
Filed under: uncultured bacterium
Lineage: Bacteria
Description: partial 16S ribosomal RNA
Rfam family: Bacterial small subunit ribosomal RNA
Source: RNAcentral
UACAGAGGUCUCAAGCGUUGUUCGGAUUCAUUGGGCGUAAAGGGCGCGCAGGCGGCUCAUUUUGUCAGGCGUGAAAGCCCCGGGCUUAACCUGGGAACUGCGUUUGAUACGGAUGGGCUAGAGUUCGGGAGAGGAGAGUGGAAUUCCCAGUGUAGAGGUGAAAUUCGUAGAUAUUGGGAAGAACACCGGUGGCGAAGGCGCCUAUCUGGCCCGAUACUGACGCUGAGGCGCGAAAGCGUGGGGAGCAAACAGG